AACGCAAGUUGCGCCUGAAGCCAUUAGGUUGAAGGCACGUCUGCCUGGGCGUCACGCAUCCCGUCACCCACCAGCCUUGUCCUUCCAUGGGCACAUGAAUGCGUGGGUGGAUAUUGGCCUCCCGUGCACGUUCGUGCUUGGUUGGUCUAAAAACGCAGUCCCCGACGACGGACAUCACAACUAGUGGUGGUUGUUUAACUGUUGCGUAAUGUUGUGUAUGCCAUUGUUGUUGUGGGUUGUUGCUCCUUUGACCCAAAAGUAACAUACAAAUGUUACCUUGAUUGCGACCCCAGGUCAGGCGGGAUUACCCGCUGAGUUUAA
This 321-nucleotide unclassified non-coding RNA is filed under the name Aspergillus sp. Its description in RNAcentral is "partial contains 5.8S ribosomal RNA, internal transcribed spacer 2, and large subunit ribosomal RNA". The record is from RNAcentral. Lineage: Eukaryota; Fungi; Ascomycota; Eurotiomycetes; Eurotiales; Aspergillaceae.